AUGGUCACGUUCCUCCGUUCCUUCCUUCGUUCCUUCAUUUGUUCGUUUGUACCUUCGUUCGUUUGUGCCUUCGUUCGUUUGUGCCUUCAUUCGUUGGUUCGUACCUUCGUUCGUUUGUGCCUUCGUUGGUUCGUACCUUCGUUCGUUUGUGCCUUCGUUCGUUCGUACCUUCGUUGGUUCGUACCUUCGUUGGUUCGCACCUCUGUUUGUUCGUACCUUCGUUGGGUUCGUACCUUCGUUGGUUCGUACCUCUGUUUGUUCGUACCUUCGUUGGGUCGUACCUUCGUUGGUUCUUACCUCUGUUUGUUCGUACCUUUGUUGGGUCGUACCUUCGUUCCUUCAUUUGUUCGUUCCUUCAUUUGUUCGUUUGUACCUUCGUUGGUUCGUACCUUUCGUUCGUUCGUACCUUCGUUGGUUCGUACCUUCGUUGGUUCGUACCUUCGUUGGUUCGUACCUCUGUUCGUUCGUACCUUCGUUGGUUCUUACCUUUGUUGGUUCUUACCUCUGUUGGUUCGUACCUUCGUUGGUUCGUACCUUCGUUGGUUCGUACCUCUGUUGGUUCGUACCUUCGUUGGUUCUUACCUCUGUUGGUUCGUAUCUUCGUUGGUUCUUACCUUCGUUGGUUCUUACCUCUGUUGGUUCGUACCUUCGUUGGUUCGUACCUCUGUUUGUUCGUACCUUCGUUGGUUCGUACCUCUGUUCGUUCGUACCUUCGUUGGUUCUUACCUCUGUUUGUUCGUACCUUCGUUGGUUCGUACCUUCGUUGGUUCGUACCUCUGUUUGUUCGUACCUUCGUUGGUUCGUACCUCUGUUCGUUCGUACCUUCGUUGGUUCUUACCUCUGUUUGUUCGUACCUUCGUUGGUUCAUACCUUCGUUGGUUCUUACCUCUGUUUGUUCGUACCUUCGUUGGUUCGUACCUCUGUUUGUUCGUACCUUCGUUGGUUCGUACCUCUGUUUGUUCGUACCUUCGUUGGUUCGUACCUUCGUUGGUUCUUACCUCUGUUUGUUCGUACCUUCGUUGGUUCGUACCUUCGUUGGUUCGUACCUCUGUUUGUUCGUACCUUCGUUGGUUCUUACCUCUGUUUGUUCGUACCUUCGUUGGUUCGUACCUCUGUUUGUUCGUACCUUCGUUGGUUCGUACCUCUGUUUGUUCGUACCUUCGUUGGUUCGUACCUCUGUUUGUUCGUACCUUCGUUGGUUCGUACCUUGCUUUCGUAUCUCCGUUCGUACCUUUGUUUGUUCGUACCUUCGUUUGUUCGUACCUUCUUUCGUGCUACGUCCGUACCUUCGUUCCUACUGUCGUCCGUGUCUUUGUUUGUUCGUUUGUUCAUACCUUCAAUCGUACCUUCGUUGCUGCUGCGUUCGUACCUUCAUUCCUACCGUUGUUCCUACCUUUGUUUGUUUGGUCGUUUCUACCUUUGUUAGUUCGUACCUUUGUUCAUUCAGUUGUCUUCCCAAAUCGACUCCCCUGUCGCUGGGGUUUCCCUCUUCCCCAGAACAUCAUUGGUACGGAAACAGAGAGAUCUAGGAAUGAAAGAAUAUAA
This 1545-nucleotide long non-coding RNA is filed under the name Scophthalmus maximus (turbot). Its description in RNAcentral is "lncRNA (ENSSMAG00000030763.1)". Lineage: Eukaryota; Metazoa; Chordata; Actinopteri; Pleuronectiformes; Scophthalmidae. The record is from RNAcentral.